CGUAGUUGAACCUUGGGCCUGGCUGGCCGGUCCGCCUCACCGCGUGUACUGGUCCGGCCGGGCCUUUCCCUCUGUGGAACCCCAUGCCCUUCACUGGGUGUGGCGGGGAAACAGGACUUUUACUGUGAAAAAAUUAGAGUGCUCCAGGCAGGCCUAUGCUCGAAUACAUUAGCAUGGAAUAAUAGAAUAGGACGUGUGGUUCUAUUUUGUUGGUUUCUAGGACCGCCGUAAUGAUUAAUAGGGACAGUCGGGGGCAUCAGUAUUCAAUUGUCAGAGGUGAAAUUCUUGGAUUUAUUGAAGACUAACUACUGCGAAAGCAUUUGCCAAGGAUGUUUUCAUUAAUCAGGAACGAAAGUUAGGGGAUCGAAGACGAUCAGAUACCGUCGUAGUCUUAACCAUAAACUAUGCCGACUAGGGAUCGGACGAUGUUAUAUUUUGACUCGUUCGGCACCUUACGAGAAAUCAAAGUGCUUGGGCUCCAGGGGGAGUAUGGUCGCAAGGCUGAAACUUAAAGAAAUUGACGGAAGGGCACCACCAGGGGUGGAGCCUGCGGCUUAAUUUGACUCAACACGGGGAAACUCACCAGGUCCAGACACAAUAAGGAUU
Molecule: ribosomal RNA, 606 nt
Filed under: Fusarium solani
Lineage: Eukaryota; Fungi; Ascomycota; Sordariomycetes; Hypocreales; Nectriaceae
Description: SSU rRNA
Rfam family: Eukaryotic small subunit ribosomal RNA
Source: RNAcentral